ACCUAAGUGGUGAAAUUGGCAUACACGUUAGAUUUAGAAUCUAGUUCCUCAGGGAUUAGGGGUUCAAGUCCCCUCUUAGGUA
Molecule: transfer RNA, 82 nt
Filed under: Candidatus Pinguicoccus supinus
Lineage: Bacteria; Pseudomonadati; Verrucomicrobiota
Rfam family: tRNA
About the family: Transfer RNA (tRNA) molecules are approximately 80 nucleotides in length.
Source: Rfam by way of RNAcentral